CACAGUCCUCACAGUCAGAAGAUUUCCCUGUAUUCAUCAUAAGAUCUCAAGAAUUACACUUUGAUAUGGUACUCGAAAGAAAACUCAUUGAGUUAAAAGCUUAAAUAUUUCAAGUUUUACAACGAAUACUAUUUCCCCAAUGGUUGAAUUAUUUAGUCACAGAACCAUUGGAUAUCUUUAAUUUUGAUGAGCCUGAUGAGGUUUCAAAUGCACAAUAAUCACAAAGGCUUCAGGAAAUCUAUCAUUAAAAAGUACUGAAUAUACUUCAGGUUUAUGGCUACUCUGCAAUAAAUUAAGCCUUCGUGGCCUUUGGUCUCAAAUCACGUCAAACAGAAAUUCACUCAACGCCUUAAAGAAUAGUUAAAAUUAAAUGAAUCAACUUCUAUACUGAUGAUAGAUGGUGUUUAUCGUGGGACAUUGUUUCUGUACAGGCAGAAUUUGGCCUGGUACAUCCAAAUCCCUGAUAACUAGUGUGUUGGUGUCAAUGUUCAGUAUAUAGUACAACCCCAGAUUUCUUCAUUCUGGAAUCAAGAAACAGAACUCUUCUACAACCAAGGGAGCUCAAUUCCUUCCAGUUGUUGGGAAAAUAUAUAUGAAACAACUAUUUUGCAUUAUGCAUUGAUAUUUACCAACAAAAGUAGACCCAGGGACCCGUAUUGGAA
This 662-nucleotide long non-coding RNA is filed under the name Musa acuminata (dwarf banana). RNAcentral's name for it is "long non-coding RNA (MACU_LNC006868)". Lineage: Eukaryota; Viridiplantae; Streptophyta; Magnoliopsida; Zingiberales; Musaceae. The record is from RNAcentral.